UGUAGUUCCAUUGGACAGACAGUUUC
Molecule: non-coding RNA, 26 nt
Filed under: Rattus norvegicus (Norway rat)
Lineage: Eukaryota; Metazoa; Chordata; Mammalia; Rodentia; Muridae
Source: RNAcentral